GGGAGGCAGCAGUGAGGAAUCUUGCGCAAUGGGCGAAAGCCUGACGCAGCGACGCCGCGUGAAGGAUGACGGCCUUCGGGUUGUAAACUUCUUUUAAGUGGGAAGAAUCAAAUGACGGUACCACUUGAAUAAGCCCCGGCUAACUACGUGCCAGCAGCCGCGGUAAUACGUAGGGGGCGAGCGUUGUCCGAAUUUACUGGGCGUAAAGCGCGCGUAGGCGGACCUUUAAGUGGAGGGUGAAAUGCCGGGGCUCAACCCCGGAACUGCCUUCCAAACUGGGGGUCUUGAGGUAUGGAGAGGGAUGUGGAAUUCCUGGUGUAGCGGUGAAAUGCGUAGAUAUCAGGAGGAACACCCGUGGCGAAGGCGGCAUCCUGGCCAUAAUCUGACGCUGAGGUGCGAAAGCUAGGGGAGCGAACGGGAUUAGAUACCCCGGUAGUCCU
RNAcentral lists this ribosomal RNA (440 nucleotides) under uncultured bacterium. RNAcentral's name for it is "bacterial SSU rRNA". It matches the Rfam family "Bacterial small subunit ribosomal RNA", at positions 343 to 797 of the family's 1533-position model. The record is from RNAcentral.